ACCUUAAAACUAGCCUAACAUCCUCACUUAAACUUAACCUUAUCAAUUACACCCUACACCCAGCACUAAACCAAAACAUUUUAUACUUUCAAGUAUGGGUGACAGAACAAAACCCCCAGCGCAAUAGAUUAUGUACCGCAAGGGAAAGUUGAAAAAGAAAUGAAACAAAUCAUCAAAGUACUAAAAAGCAGAGAUUUAAUCUCGUACCUUUUGCAUCAUGAUUUAGCUAGAAAAACUAGGCAAAAAGACCUUAAGUCUACCUUCCCGAAACUAAACGAGCUACUUCGGAGCAGCAUAUUAGAGCCAACCCGUCUCUGUGGCAAAAGAGUGGGAAGACUUCCAAGNUAGCGCCGACAGACCUAACGAGUUUAGUGAUAGCUGGUUGCCCAAAAAAAGAACUUAAAUUCUGCAUUAAUUUCUUUAAUACCAAACAAGAAAUUCCUAUCAAGGUAUAACAUAAAAAUUAAUAGUUAUUUAAAAGAGGUACAGCCCUUUUAAAUUAAGACACAACUUUUAAAGGUGGGUAAUGAUCAUAUUCAUUAAGGACUUUCUCCCCAGUGGGCCUAAAAGCAGCCACCUGCAAAGUAAGCGUCAUAGCUCCAGACCCCUAACAACCUAUAAUCCAGAUAAUACCUCAAAACCCCCUUACUACAUAUUGGGUUAUUUUAUUAAACCUAUAAAAGAACUAAUGCUAAAAUGAGUAAUAAGAGGCUAAACCUCUCCUGACACCAGUGUAAGUCAGAAAGAAUUAAAUCACUGACAAUUAAACGAUCCCAGACUGAGGGAAUAAUACUAAUACAUCAUUAACAAGAAAACCUUAUUUAACUAUUCGUUAACCCUACACAGGAGUGUCUAAAGGAAAGAUUAAAAGAAAAUAAAGGAACUCGGCAAACAUAAACUCCGCCUGUUUACCAAAAACAUCGCCUCUUGCUACAACACUAUAAGAGGUCCCGCCUGCCCUGUGACAAUGUUUAACGGCCGCGGUAUUUUGACCGUGCGAAGGUAGCGUAAUCACUUGUCUUUUAAAUGAAGACCCGUAUGAAAGGCACCACGAGAGUUUAACUGUCUCUAUUUUCUAAUCAAUGAAAUUGAUCUUCCCGUGCAGAAGCGAGUAUAUUAACAUUAGACGAGAAGACCCUAUGGAGCUUCAAACACUUAAAUUAAUUAUGUAUAACCCAUCCCUCUACGGACUUAAAAAUAACACAAUAUUCCUAAUUUAAUUGUUUUUGGUUGGGGCGACCAAGGGGAAAAACAAAUCCCCCUUAUCGAUUGAGUACUUAGAUACUUAAAAACUAGAAUGACAAUUCUAAUUAAUAAAAUAUUUAUCGAAAAAUGACCCAGGACUUACCUGAUCAAUGAACCAAGUUACCCUAGGGAUAACAGCGCAAUCCUUUCCCAGAGUCCCUAUCGACGAAAGGGUUUACGACCUCGAUGUUGGAUCAGGACAUCCUAAUGGUGCAACCGCUAUUAAGGGUUCGUUUGUUCAACGAUUA
This 1493-nucleotide ribosomal RNA is filed under the name Heterodontus francisci (horn shark). RNAcentral's name for it is "partial 16S ribosomal RNA". It matches the Rfam family "Bacterial large subunit ribosomal RNA", at positions 274 to 2590 of the family's 2925-position model. The record is from RNAcentral. Lineage: Eukaryota; Metazoa; Chordata; Chondrichthyes; Heterodontiformes; Heterodontidae.